UACGGAGGGUGCGAGCGUCAAUCGGAAUUACUGGGCGUAAAGCGUGCGUAGGCGGUUGUUUAAGUCAGAUGUGAAAGCCCUGGGCUCAACCUGGGAACUGCAUUUGAGACUGGACAGCUAGAGUUGAGUAGAGGUAAGUGGAAUUUCAGGUGUAGCGGUGAAAUGCGUAGAGAUCUGAAGGAACACCAGUGGCGAAGGCGACUUACUGGACUCAAACUGACGCUGAGGUACGAAAGCGUGGGGAUCAAACAGG
RNAcentral lists this ribosomal RNA (253 nucleotides) under uncultured bacterium. RNAcentral's name for it is "partial 16S ribosomal RNA". It matches the Rfam family "Bacterial small subunit ribosomal RNA", at positions 524 to 776 of the family's 1533-position model. The record is from RNAcentral.